GAGCUCUGCGGCCGAGGGAGUGGGGCCGGAGCGCCGCGCGAAAACCAGCGACUCCAUGGCGAGCAGGAGUACAACACCCAGUGUGCUACAAGGCACACAAAAGGUGCUCCAUGGAUGCUUAUGAACUGAAGGAAUGGAUGUGCGAUGGAAUCCAAAGACGAAACUAAAAACACCUACAUGUGAUUGGGCCCACUCCAUUACCAGCUAUCUGGCCAUGGUCGGCGGGGAGUCAUCUGCAACCUCUUCUUGGACCUUCUCACCCCUGCUCCAGCUUCCUUUGACUACAAUCUGAAUUCCCAUCUAGGUCAUGUGAAGAUGGAGGCAGAGAUUGGAGUUAUGCUGCCAUAAGCCAAGCAACACCAAAGAUUACCAGCAAACACCAGGAGGUAGGAGGAAGCACAGAAGAAUCCUGCCCUCCCCACCCCCACCCUGGGAGCCUUCCAAGAGAACACAGCUCUUCUGACAUCUUGGCUUGAGACUUCUAGCCUCCAGAAUUGUGACACAAUCCGUUUCUGUUUUAAGUCACCUAAUUGUGGUGUUUUUGUUAGAGCAGCCCUAGGGAACUAAUACAUAUUGUCAUUUUGAUCUGC
Molecule: long non-coding RNA, 590 nt
Organism: Cercocebus atys (sooty mangabey)
Lineage: Eukaryota; Metazoa; Chordata; Mammalia; Primates; Cercopithecidae
Exons: 3
Source: RefSeq, a predicted model, not a curated record